This 460-nucleotide ribosomal RNA is filed under the name uncultured bacterium. RNAcentral's name for it is "partial 16S ribosomal RNA". It matches the Rfam family "Bacterial small subunit ribosomal RNA", at positions 338 to 795 of the family's 1533-position model. The record is from RNAcentral.
CCUACGGGGGGCAGCAGUGAGGAAUAUUGGUCAAUGGACGAGAGUCUGAACCAGCCAAGUAGCGUGAAGGAUGACUGCCCUAUGGGUUGUAAACUUCUUUUAUAUGGGAAUAAAAUGUUCCACGUGUGGGAUUUUGUAUGUACCAUAUGAAUAAGGAUCGGCUAACUCCGUGCCAGCAGCCGCGGUAAUACGGAGGAGCCGAGCGUUAUCCGGAUUUAUUGGGUUUAAAGGGAGCGUAGGUGGAUUGUUAAGUCAGUUGUGAAAGUUUGCGGCUCAACCGUAAAAUUGCAGUUGAAACUGGCAGUCUUGAGUACAGUAGAGGUGGGCGGAAUUCGUGGUGUAGCGGUGAAAUGCUUAGAUAUCACGAAGAACUCCGAUUGCGAAGGCAGUUCACUGGACUGCAACUGACACUGAGGCUCGAAAGUGUGGGUAUCAAACAGGAUUAGAUACCCCAGUAGUC